AACCCUCGGAUUGUCCGAGGGUCCAAAUAAGCUUUAGCGGAGUGAUAAUGAAAAUCCUCCAUUGUAUAAUUAUAAUGCGGUCUGCCAACUGCAAAUAAAAAUACAAGGG
RNAcentral lists this small RNA (109 nucleotides) under Clostridium botulinum. RNAcentral's name for it is "Hfq binding sRNA". Lineage: Bacteria; Bacillati; Bacillota; Clostridia; Eubacteriales; Clostridiaceae. The record is from RNAcentral.